Molecule: ribosomal RNA, 864 nt
Filed under: Triticum aestivum (bread wheat)
Lineage: Eukaryota; Viridiplantae; Streptophyta; Magnoliopsida; Poales; Poaceae
Description: partial small subunit ribosomal RNA
Source: RNAcentral
AUGGUUUUAAUGGGUUAUUUUUUAAAAUGCUGGCACAUUAUUUGUCAAGAUUUUUAUGAUCUGGCUGAAGCUUUCCAUAGUGGCAUAGCAAAUCUGGAAAAUAUAAAUGGUUCCUAUAUCACACUCAUCCCCAAGAAGUUGGCUCCUGAAGGUGUUGGAGAUUAUAGACCAAUUUCCUUGACUGGGAUGGGCCUCAAAUUCUUAUCCAAGAUGGCUGCCAAUAGGUUUCAGAGGAUAAUUAUGAAAUGUAUACAUAAGAACCAAUAUGGUUUCAUCAAAAGCAGGACCAUCCAGGACUGUAUUGGCUGGUCACUUGAAUAUUUGCAUCAAUGCCAUCAGUCAAAGAGACCUAUUGUUAUUCUCAAAUUGGAUUUUGAGAAAGCCUUUGAUUCCAUUGAGCAUGAAACUAUUCUUUUAAUUCUGAAGCAUAAGGGUUUUUAUCAUAAAUGGAUUUCUUGGGUCAAGCAGUUGCUAUCAACUGGAACAUCUUCUGUUCUUUUGAAUGGAGUACCUGGCAGACAGUUCCUAUGCAAAAAGGGAGUUAGACAAGGGGAUUGUCUUUCACCCUUACUUUUUGUGAUUGCUGCAGACUUGUUACAAUCAGUUGUGAAUGAUAUGUUCAAAAAGGGAAUUUUAAAGAUGCCUAUCCCAUGUCAUGACCAAGACUAUCCUAUAGUCCAAUAUGCUGAUGAUACCCUUAUCAUCUUACUAGCAGACAAACCUCAACUUUUGGCUCUUAAAGGAAUGCUGCAAGUUUUCUCCACUUCUACUGGUCUAGUAGUGAACUAUCAUAAAUCUUCCAUGGUGCCAAUUAAUGUUGAUGACAGUACUACUUCUGCACUAGCUACUGCUUUUGGAUGUUAG